AUUGAACGCUGGCGGUAGGCCUAACACAUGCAAGUCGAACGGCAGCACAGUAAGAGCUUGCUCUUACUGGUGGCGAGUGGCGUACUGGUGCGGAAUACAUCCGAAUCUACUUUUUCGUGGGGGAUAACGUAGGGAAACUUACGCUAAUACCGCAUACGACAUACGGGUGAAAUCAGGGGAUCUUCGGACCUUGUGCGAUUGAAUGAGCCGAUGUCGGAUUAGCUAGUUGGCGGGGUAAAGGCCCACCAAGGCGACGAUCCGUAGCUGGUCUGAGAGGAUGAUCAGCCACACUGGAACUGAGACACGGUCCAGACUCCUACGGGAGGCAGCAGUGGGGAAUAUUGGACAAUGGGCGCAAGCCUGAUCCAGCCAUACCGCGUGGGUGAAGAAGGCCUUCGGGUUGUAAAGCCCUUUUGUUGGGAAAGAAAAGCAGCAGGUUAAUACCCCGCUGUUCUGACGGUACCCAAAGAAUAAGCACCGGCUAACUUCGUG
This 492-nucleotide ribosomal RNA is filed under the name uncultured bacterium. RNAcentral's name for it is "partial 16S ribosomal RNA". It matches the Rfam family "Bacterial small subunit ribosomal RNA", at positions 30 to 507 of the family's 1533-position model. The record is from RNAcentral.